This 468-nucleotide ribosomal RNA is filed under the name uncultured bacterium. RNAcentral's name for it is "partial 16S ribosomal RNA". It matches the Rfam family "Bacterial small subunit ribosomal RNA", at positions 28 to 507 of the family's 1533-position model. The record is from RNAcentral.
GACGAACGCUGGCGGCGUGCUUAACACAUGCAAGUCGAACGGCAAGGCCCUGCUUUUGUGGGGUUCUCGAGUGGCGAACGGGUGAGUAACACGUGAGUAACCUGCCCUUGACUUUGGUAUAACUUCAGGAAACUGGGGCUAAUACCGUAUAGGAGCUCCUGCUGCAUGGUGGGGGUUGGAACGUUUCGGCGGUUGGGGAUGGAAUCGCGGCUUAUCAGCUUGUUGGUGGGGUAGUGGCUUACCAAGGCUUUGACGGGUAGCCGGCCUGAGAGGGUGACCGGCCACAUUGGGACUGAGAGACGGCCCAGACUCCUACGGGAGGCAGCAGUGGGGAAUAUUGCACAAUGGGCGGAAGCCUGAUGCAGCAACGCCGCGUGCGGGAUGACGGCCUGCGGGUUGUAAACCGCUUUCGCCUGUGACGAAGCGUGAGUGACGGUAAUGGGUAAAGAAGCACCGGCUAACUACGUG